CUGUCUUCUUCUUACUAUUUAUAAUUUACUUAAGGAGUGAAAAUUCUCCUACAUUAAUUAAAAGACGAGAAGACCCUAAGAAUUAUUUAAUACGCCAGUACUAUUUAACUGAUUACUUUUUGUUGGGGCAACAAGGGUACAAGAAAACUUCCCUUCUUCUUAUUUUUUAACCUGACGAGACCUUCUAAGAAAGCACUAAUUACCUUAGGGAUAACAGCAUAAUUUUAUAUUUAAGAUUGUGACCUCGAUGUUGGACUAG
RNAcentral lists this ribosomal RNA (259 nucleotides) under Tauphaedusa sheridani. Its description in RNAcentral is "partial 16S ribosomal RNA". The record is from RNAcentral. Lineage: Eukaryota; Metazoa; Mollusca; Gastropoda; Stylommatophora; Clausiliidae.